Molecule: non-coding RNA, 3347 nt
Organism: Oryctolagus cuniculus (rabbit)
Lineage: Eukaryota; Metazoa; Chordata; Mammalia; Lagomorpha; Leporidae
Source: RefSeq, a predicted model, not a curated record
GACCAUGCCUUCACCACGCCCCUUUGUGAUCUCACACCCCUACCUGACCCCACCUGUAUGCCCACCUGCCAAUCAGGCUAUGUAACCACUUCCCUUUGGAAGUGUAUAAAAGGCCUGGAGCACAGUGGGCCCCUCCCUUUUUUGUUGCCCUUGCUGCCCAUGCCUUCAGGGCACGUGGCCUUCAGGCUUCCUGCUCCCUGUUUUCCUGCCCGCAUGCUUGCUGUAGUGCUUGCUCCUGGCCUGCUCUCUGCUUGGUAUGGACCCAACUUCCCAACUUAAUUUCUAGACUCUUUUUUCUCCCCUACAUAAAGCCCUCACUCUCCUAUGCAUUUCUGUCACCGAAUAAAAUAGUUAAAACUUAAAAAAAAAAAAGGUAAACAAUUUAGGCUUUGGAACUAGAUCUAGGAAGAACUUUGGGUGUGGUCACUAGCACCCAUCAUUUAUAGGAAGCAAAUGAAUGGGAGUCUUACUGUUUUUGAGAAAAUUGUGUUACCAAAAAAAAAAAAAAUCACGAACUUGGAUGAAAUAACCUUUAAUUUCUUAAACCUUAUCCUUUGGUCCUAAAUUUGCGUGAUUAGGAAGUGAAUGGGCUAUAAAGUCUGUACAGUCUAUUUCAGGAGAGCACUCUUGAAGUGAUGAAAAAGCAACAAGGACAAGGAGGGUAAGUAGGAAUCUUAAAGGCAAAUAGGCAAGGAAUUUCUUCCAGAGAGCAGAUUAAUGGACUAAGCAAGGAACUAAAACUUUCGCACAUUGCCUACCCAGCAGGAUUCCAUCAUACUAUUCACUAAGGACUGUGUUUUUCCCAUUCUUCCUUUUUUUUUUUCUUUCUGAAUGAGAGUUGACUGCAGUUUUCAAACUCCUGUUCCACCAUGGUAGAGUGGAUGCAUGUUAGAAAAAAAAAAGAGACAAUGUAAUGCAUGUUCUUUCUUUCUUUCUUUCUUUCUUUCUUUCUUUCUUUCUUUCUUUCUUUCUUUCUUUCUGACAGUGAGAGAGACAGAGAGAAAGGUCUUCCUUUUUCUGUUGGUUCACCCUCCAAUGGCCACCGCGGCCGGCUCACUGCGGCCGGCACACCGCACUGAUCCGAAGGCAGGAGCCAGGUACUUCUCCUGGUCUCCCAUGGGGUGCAGGGCCCAAGCACUUGGGCCAUCCUCCACUGCACUCCCUGGCCACAGCAGAGAGCUGGCCUGGAAGAGGGGCCAGAAUCCGGCAUCCCGACCAGGACUAGAACCCGGUGUGCCAGCGCCGCAAGGCAGAGGAUUAGCCUAGUGAGCCGCGGCGCCAGCCAAUAGUUUCUUAUUAAAAAUCCAGUUCCUCUUCUUCCGGAACACCUGGUUGGACUGUGGUACAGGCAGUUACAUGAGUGAGUACUUGCAACAGACUGCGAGGGAGGGGAUGUGGGCUACUUCCAGGCAGAAGCUGCUUUGUCUCCUCCUCGCUCUCAUUUUUCUGCUGUUGGGCGGGUCUGGAUAAUGAUGAGGCCCCAGAUCCUGGGGGAUGGGGUAGCCCCACGCCGCCGGGAGCCUGGACUCUGAAUCAUGCAGUGGAGGAGAGCUGUCUUCAGACUGUUUAUUGGGAGAAAAGACAAGAAAAUUUUUCCUUGUCUCAAGCAGAGUACCUUCCCUUCCCCUCUGAGGUCUUGGUACGAACUUAACGUUUGUUAUUGAAGAAUUGCCUGAGCAGAUUAUCAAGGCACUUUCUCAUACAAAGGCUGGCCUUUGAACCUCCUUUGCUAACUGGGGAAUGAUGCAAAGCUCAGAAAUCAGACCAGCCUGAGUACAAGCACUGGUUCUUCUAAUCACCUGUCAAGUGCCCUCAGGCCAAAGGGAGACCUUGUAGAGGCCCCAGUGCCUUCUCUUCACGUUGCUGCUUCCAUGGUAAGUCCUGCUGACUACAAAGACCUCAGUUCUCAUGAGCGUUUUUGUCUGACAUCUCUCUCUGUUUUAAUCAGGACCAACAAAUGCACAAACACCUCAAAUACAUCUUAGUUAUCUGGCUUAAGGGUUAAAAAUUCAAAUACUUUCAGAAAUGAAGCAGGUGGUAUGAUGAGUAUUAUUCAAUUAGAUGGUAAUAUUCAACUCUAACCUGUUUGUUACAAAACUUAAGCAGGAACCAUGGACUCAAUAUCAGAAGAUAUUUUGGAUUAAAAGCUCUUCAUUUUCAUGAGUUGGUAACUGUGUUGAUCAGUUUUCUGUUACUAUAACAAAAUGCCUGGGACUGGGUAUUUUAUAAAGAAAAUAAAUUGUUUAGCUUACAGUUCUGGAUAUUAAAAGCAUUGACUGUCCUCUGCUUGCCUCUGGUGGAGGCUCAAAGUGGUUGACACCAUAAUGGUGGGAGUGCAUGUGAGCAGGGAAAGUACAGGGGGAGAUAGCAGGCUAGCAAGCUGGGAGGGGCCAGGCACUACCUUUUAUAACAACUCAUUUUCAUGACAACUAAUUCAGGGUCCCAUGAGAACUCUCUGAAAUUCUUCUAAGGGCAGCACCCUCAAUGACACAACCAACUCCCAUGAGGCUCCAUCUUUUGAAGGUUUCACUGCUUCUAAACAUCGUCACAUUGGGAACCAAGCUUCCAGAACAUAAACCUUUUUGGGACAUACCACAUCCAAACCACAGUGGUUAACUGUUUAAAAAAAUCCUAAAAUACUAUGUAGGGCAAAUUAGACACAUCUAGGGGCUAGAAUUAGCCCACAGAAACCUGGAAAUCACCUAACUCUUUACUAUGCUGUUGUUGGUGGUGGUGAUGGUGGUGGUGGGGUGUGUGUGUGUGCAGCCCUUACUCUUGAAAUUAUAACGUCCUAGUAUUUGCUAAGCCCAGCUGGUUAAGAGGUUGCUAGGUAGACUGAUAAGAGGAAUGAAAGGGAAUAAGAAGACUCAGGUUCCAGUCUGAUUCUGUGAUAAACAGCUGUGGCCUUGCUCAUGUGAAUUUCUUGGUUUGGUUUGACCAUCCUCAUCUAUAAAAUGAAGGCAUUGCUGAAGGUAUCCUUAGGGCUCUUUCCAGUUCCAAAAUUCUAUGUUUAUAGCUGUAAUUUUAAUAAUCAAAUUCCUUUAUUUUGUUUGUAACUGGAAUAUGUAGUCCAAGUAGUUAGAGACUCAGGAUUAAGCUACACUGUGGAAACAAAUCAGAUUUACAAGAGUGAGAGCAUCUUUGAUAUGUGAUUUUUCUGGUAGAUUCCCUAAAGGAUGAGGCUAAGAAAAGAUUUACUCUGAAAUGAAAUGCUAUGCACUUUCCCAGAGGCAAUAGCCAUUAAGAUUUUCACUUGAAGUCUGGGAAGGGUUGAUGGAGGAAGGAAGAUAAAUAUACUGACAAAGAGUAGUAAGAAUAGGCAAGAAAGUGGAGGAUUGAAACUCUUA